GCCCUGGUAGCUCAAUGGACAGAGCAACGGCCUUCUAAGCCGCAGGUUGCAGGUUCGAAUCCUGUCCAGGGCG
This 73-nucleotide transfer RNA is filed under the name Anaerolineales bacterium. Its description in RNAcentral is "tRNA-Arg". It matches the Rfam family "tRNA". From Rfam's summary of the family: Transfer RNA (tRNA) molecules are approximately 80 nucleotides in length. The record is from RNAcentral. Lineage: Bacteria; Bacillati; Chloroflexota; Anaerolineae; Anaerolineales.